CAAAAGCGUAUAUUAAAGUUGUUGCAGUUAAAAAGCUCGUAGUUGAACCUUGGGCUUGGCUGGCCGGUCCAUCUUUUUUGAUGCGUACUGGACCCAGCCGAGCCUUUCCUUCUGGCUAGCCUUUUGGCGAACCAGGACUUUUACUUUGAAAAAAUUAGAGUGUUCAAAGCAGGCCUUUGCUCGAAUAUAUUAGCAUGGAAUAAUAGAAUAGGACGUUAUGGUCCUAUUUUGUUGGUUUCUAGGACCAUCGUAAUGAUUAAUAGGGACGGUCGGGGGUAUCAGUAUUCAGUUGUCAGAGGUGAAAUUCUUGGAUUUACUGAAGACUAACUACUGCGAAAGCAUUUACCAAGGACGUUUUCAUUAA
RNAcentral lists this ribosomal RNA (364 nucleotides) under uncultured eukaryote. RNAcentral's name for it is "partial 18S ribosomal RNA". It matches the Rfam family "Eukaryotic small subunit ribosomal RNA", at positions 592 to 976 of the family's 1831-position model. The record is from RNAcentral.